Hordeum vulgare subsp. vulgare (domesticated barley) is the source of this 125-nucleotide non-coding RNA. The record is from Rfam. NCBI's taxonomy places the organism in Eukaryota, Viridiplantae, Streptophyta, Magnoliopsida, Poales, Poaceae.
CACUUACUCCCUCCGUCCGGAAUUACUUGUAACCAAAAUGGAAAGAACUGAAUGUAUCUAGAACUAAAAUAUAUCUAGUUACAUCCAUUCCCAUGACAAGUAAUUCUGGACGGAGGGAGUAUUUU